GCUUCUGAAAGCAUUUUGUGCAGCCGUAGAACCAAUCACCAAACACCAUUUUAACAGCUUCUUUAAUUUGUUCAAGAGCUCAUCAGCCAGAGUACCUGCCGCUUUCUUUCAAGGCAUUUAUGUGAAAAUAGCAAUUACUCAGGAGCCUUGAGUUAUUUUCUUUUCAGGCCAAUUGGGCACACCUAUUUAUACAAGGAUUGUAUAAGAGUUAAUAAAUCUGCAAGACAGAUCACAGGAUAUGGUGAUUCUAUGGGUGACGAAAUGAUAAUACAAUGAUAAGGAGAGGACAGGAAAGUUUGUGGCUUUCAUAA
Molecule: unclassified non-coding RNA, 311 nt
Filed under: Hevea brasiliensis (rubber tree)
Lineage: Eukaryota; Viridiplantae; Streptophyta; Magnoliopsida; Malpighiales; Euphorbiaceae
Source: RNAcentral